GCGGUGGAUGAUGUGGAUUAAUUCGAUGCAACGCGAAGAACCUUACUACCCUUGACAUGUCCGGAACUUGCCAGAGAUGGCUUGGUGCCCGAAAGGGAAUCGGAACACAGGUGCUGCAUGGCUGUCGUCAGCUCGUGUCGUGAGAUGUUGGGUUAAGUCCCGCAACGAGCGCAACCCUUAUCAUUAGUUGCUACGCAAGGGCACUCUAAUGAGACUGCCGGUGACAAACCGGAGGAAGGUGGGGAUGACGUCAAGUCCUCAUGGCCCUUAUGGGUAGGGCUUCACACGUCAUACAAUGGUCGGUACAGAGGGUUGCCAAGCCGCGAGGCGGAGCCAAUCCCACAAAGCCGAUCGUAGUCCGGAUUGUUCUCUGCAACUCGAGAGCAUGAAGUCGGAAUCGCUAGUAAUCGCAGGUCAGCAUACUGCGGUGAAUACGUUCCCGGGUCUU
RNAcentral lists this ribosomal RNA (448 nucleotides) under uncultured Thiobacillus sp. RNAcentral's name for it is "bacterial SSU rRNA". It matches the Rfam family "Bacterial small subunit ribosomal RNA", at positions 929 to 1382 of the family's 1533-position model. The record is from RNAcentral. Lineage: Bacteria; Pseudomonadati; Pseudomonadota; Betaproteobacteria; Nitrosomonadales; Thiobacillaceae.